GUCCCAUUCCGAACCCGGAAGUUAAGUCCUCAGAGGCCGAUGAUACUGAGACCCGUUGGUUUUGGGAAAGUAGGUAGCUGCCUAGU
This 86-nucleotide ribosomal RNA is filed under the name bacterium. The record is from RNAcentral.